Molecule: long non-coding RNA, 265 nt
Filed under: Manihot esculenta (cassava)
Lineage: Eukaryota; Viridiplantae; Streptophyta; Magnoliopsida; Malpighiales; Euphorbiaceae
Description: long non-coding RNA (MESC_LNC004745)
Source: RNAcentral
GACCCUUAACUACUUAAUCUGUGUUCACACUCUACACUGAUUACUGAUCACUCCUGUCUGUACACAGUCCAUUUGACUCUCUUUGCUACCUACUGACUUUCCUUUCUUUUUACCUUUUCUCAGCUCUAUUCACAUUACUCUGGUUACACUCACCUUUGCUUCUUUUUACUCAACCCGAUCAGAGGAGCAAUAACUCUAAGGAAAUGCUAGAUGCCUAGCUUCAACUCUCUACGUACUGUAGAAAUCGUAUUGUGACACUUCACAA